AUGGCCGGAGCGGGCAUGGUGCUCCGGGACAGCUCGGGCUCGAUCAUCUUCUCGUCCUGUCGUCAACUACGGAGAUGCGCGGAUGCACUUGAAGCGGAGUUGGCCGCGUGUAUGGAGGGCCUAAACCUAGCACUCCAAUGGACGCCUCUGCCGGUGGAGCUUGAGACCGACAACCUAGUCGGAAUCAAUAUGUUGAGAGGCAACACUGUAGAUCGCUCUCGUUAUGCGAUGUUGAUAGACCAGACCAGACGCCUCUUGAGGGGAAGAAGAGAAAGUAGAAGAGCGCACUGUUGUGUGGCUCGGUACCGGUCCAGGUGUUGUGCCUGA
RNAcentral lists this ribosomal RNA (327 nucleotides) under Triticum aestivum (bread wheat). RNAcentral describes it as "partial small subunit ribosomal RNA". Lineage: Eukaryota; Viridiplantae; Streptophyta; Magnoliopsida; Poales; Poaceae. The record is from RNAcentral.